RNAcentral lists this ribosomal RNA (252 nucleotides) under uncultured bacterium. RNAcentral's name for it is "partial 16S ribosomal RNA". It matches the Rfam family "Bacterial small subunit ribosomal RNA", at positions 524 to 776 of the family's 1533-position model. The record is from RNAcentral.
UACAGAGGUCCCGAGCGUUGUUCGGAUUCACUGGGCGUAAAGGGUGCGUAGGUGGUGAGGAAAGUCGGAUGUGAAAUCUCCGAGCUCAACUCGGAAAUGGCAUUGGAAACUACCUUGCUCGAGGGUUGGAGGGGGACUGGAAUACUUGGUGUAGCAGUGAAAUGCGUAGAUAUCAAGUGGAACACCAGUGGCGAAGGCGAGUCCCUGGACAACUCCUGACACUGAGGCACGAAAGCUAGGGGAGCAAACAGG